AGUCUGGGAAGUUCCAGCGGAGCAGGUACUACCGUGACAUCAGCCACUCCAGGGUACGCUGCAGGAACUGUGACAGGGUCGGACACUUGUCCAAAGUCUGCCCCGAACCACCCAGGAAGUCAGCAUGUUUCCUGUGUGGCGGCCGAGACCACCAGUCCUCCACCUGCCCAACUGCCGUCUGCCACUUCUGCUCCAACCCUGGACACCAGACCCGCUACUGUAAGGGCCGGUACCGCUGUGCUGAGAGUGUCUGCCUCCACUGUCACUGGAAGGGACAUCUGGCAAGGGACUGUCCUGACAAAUGGAGGCAGUACCAUUCCACA
Long non-coding RNA from Branchiostoma belcheri (Belcher's lancelet), 323 nucleotides. RefSeq lists it as uncharacterized. The record is from RefSeq and is a predicted model, not a curated record. The transcript is spliced from 3 exons. Lineage: Eukaryota; Metazoa; Chordata; Leptocardii; Amphioxiformes; Branchiostomatidae.